CCUACGGGGUGCUGCAGUCGAGAAUCAUUCACAAUGGGGGAAACCCUGAUGGUGCGACGCCGCGUGGGGGAAUGAAGGUCUUCGGAUUGUAAACCCCUGUCAUGUGGGAGCAAAUUAAAAAGAUAGUACCACAAGAGGAAUAGUCGGCUAACGCGGUGCCAGCAGCCGCGGUAAUACAGAGGUCUCAAGCGGUGUUCGGAAGCACUGGGCAUAAAGAGUACGUAGGAUGUUUCGUAAGUCGUGUGUGAAAGGCGCGGGCUCAACCCGCGGACGGCACAUGAUACUGCGAGACUAGAGUAAUGGAGGGGGAACCGGAAUUCUCGGUGUAGCAGUGAAAUGCGUAGAUAUCGAGAGGAACACUCGUGGCGAAGGCGGGUUCCUGGACAUUAACUGACGCUGAGGCACGAAGGCCAGGGGAGCGAAAGGGAUUAGAUACCCCAGUAGUC
Molecule: ribosomal RNA, 446 nt
Filed under: uncultured bacterium
Lineage: Bacteria
Description: partial 16S ribosomal RNA
Rfam family: Bacterial small subunit ribosomal RNA
Source: RNAcentral